This 481-nucleotide ribosomal RNA is filed under the name uncultured bacterium. Its description in RNAcentral is "partial 16S ribosomal RNA". It matches the Rfam family "Bacterial small subunit ribosomal RNA", at positions 28 to 523 of the family's 1533-position model. The record is from RNAcentral.
GACGAACGCUGGCGGCGCGCCUAACACAUGCAAGUCGAACGAGAGAGGAAGAGCUUGCUUUUCCGAUCGAGUGGCGAACGGGUGAGUAACGCGCGAGGAACCUGCCUCAAAGAGGGGGACAACAGUUGGAAACGACUGCUAAUACCGCAUAAGCCCACGGCUCGGCAUCGAGCAGAGGGAAAAGGAGCAAUCCGCUUUGAGAUGGCCUCGCGUCCGAUUAGCUAGUUGGUGAGGUAACGGCCCACCAAGGCGACGAUCGGUAGCCGGACUGAGAGGUUGAACGGCCACAUUGGGACUGAGACACGGCCCAGACUCCUACGGGAGGCAGCAGUGGGGAAUAUUGCACAAUGGGGGAAACCCUGAUGCAGCGACGCCGCGUGGAGGAAGAAGGUCUUCGGAUUGUAAACUCCUGUUGUUGAGGAAGAUAUGACGGUACUCAACAAGGAAGUGACGGCUAACUACGUGCCAGCAGCCGCCGUAA